Molecule: ribosomal RNA, 292 nt
Filed under: uncultured bacterium
Lineage: Bacteria
Description: partial 16S ribosomal RNA
Rfam family: Bacterial small subunit ribosomal RNA
Source: RNAcentral
GUGUCAGCAGCCGCGGUAAUACGUAGGUGGCAAGCGUUAUCCGGAAUUACUGGGCGUAAAGCGCACGCAGGCGGCGCCUUAAGUCUGACGUGAAAGCUCCUGGCUUAACUGGGAGAGGUCGUUGGAGACUGGGGCGCUUGAGGUGAGGAGAGGGGUGCAGAAUUCCCGGUGUAGUGGUGGAAUGCGUAGAUAUCGGGAGGAAUACCAGUGGCGCAAGCGGCGCCCUAGCCUUGACCUGACGCUCAUGUGCGAAAGCGUGGGGAGCGAACGGGAUUAGAAACCCCGGUAGUCC